RNAcentral lists this ribosomal RNA (459 nucleotides) under Pista sauriaui. RNAcentral describes it as "partial large subunit ribosomal RNA". It matches the Rfam family "Archaeal large subunit ribosomal RNA", at positions 2032 to 2676 of the family's 2987-position model. The record is from RNAcentral. Lineage: Eukaryota; Metazoa; Annelida; Polychaeta; Terebellida; Terebellidae.
GGUAGCGUGAUAAUUCGCCCUUUAAUUGUGGGCUUGUACGAACGGAUAAACGAGAAGCCAACUGUCUCCAAAUUAUAUAUAAAAAUUGGCCUCUAGGUGAAGAGACCUAGAUAUUAAUAAAGGACAAGAAGACCCCGUAGAGCUUUAGUCCUUAAAUUUAUAUUGAUUAAUCUGGCACAGAAUAAUUUUAUGUUACUUUCAGGUCUUUGCUGGGGCGGCAAAGGAAGAACAAUCUUCCAUUUUAACCUUACAGCUUUAAACGGUGCCACACACCUUCUAUUAAAUGAUCCUACUUUAGAACAAAGAAAAUAGCUACCUCGGGGAUAACAGAUUAAUCCUUCUUGAGAGUCCGCAUUGACAGAAGGGAUUGACACCUCGAUGUUGGCUUAGGGGACCCUGUGGGUCAGCAGCAGCCCACAAAGGCAGGUUUGUUCAACCUUUAAAACCCUACGUGAUCUG